RNAcentral lists this transfer RNA (66 nucleotides) under Pseudotrapelus sinaitus (Sinai agama). RNAcentral describes it as "tRNA-Gly". Lineage: Eukaryota; Metazoa; Chordata; Lepidosauria; Squamata; Agamidae. The record is from RNAcentral.
AUCACUUUAGUAUAAUAAUUACAGGCGGUUUCCAACCGCCAAAUCUUAUCCGCUUAAGACGUGAUA